GAUGAACGCUGGCGGCGUGCCUAAUACAUGCAAGUCGAGCGAACAGACGAGGAGCUUGCUCCUCUGACGUUAGCGGCGGACGGGUGAGUAACACGUGGAUAACCUACCUAUAAGACGGGGAUAACUUCGGGAAACCGGAGCUAAUACCGGAUAUUAUUUUGAACCGCAGGGUUCAAUAGGGAAAGACGGUUUUGCGGUCCCAUAUAGAUGGAUCCGCGCCGCAUUAGCUAGUUGGUAAGGUAACGGCUUACCAAGGCGACGAUGCGUAGCCGACCUGAGAGGGUGAUCGGCCACACUGGAACUGAGACACGGUCCAGACUCCUACGGGAGGCAGCAGUAGGGAAUCUUCCGCAAUGGGCGAAAGCCUGACGGAGCAACGCCGCGUGAGUGAUGAAGGUCUUCGGAUCGUAAAACUCUGUUAUUAGGGAAGAACAAAUGUGUAAGUAACUAUGCACGUCUUGACGGUACCUAAUCAGAAAGCCACGGCUAACUACGUG
RNAcentral lists this ribosomal RNA (497 nucleotides) under uncultured bacterium. Its description in RNAcentral is "partial 16S ribosomal RNA". It matches the Rfam family "Bacterial small subunit ribosomal RNA", at positions 28 to 507 of the family's 1533-position model. The record is from RNAcentral.